UUUUUGGGCUUCUCACUAACUAACAACCCCAACCAAACCAAACUCAUCUCUUUCUCUCGUCUUCUCUUCUUUGUAUAUUGUUAGUCGUAACCCACCUCUUCUCUGUUACAUCUAUUACUUUAUUUUUAUUUUAUUUAUCUAAAUCUAAAUAUAUAAUACUACUGCUAGUACAUCUCUCUACGACUCUACAUACAUAUAUAUCAUCUAUAUAUAUAUCAUCUGUAUCUAUUCUAUCUAUAUCUUUAGAUAUACUUCGAUUUCGAUUUGAAUCCUAUAAAUAUUAUUAUCCUGAAAAUUCAUUCAUCAUCAUCAUCAACUCAACAAUUUGAGAUCUCAUAGCCUUAUCUCUACAUACAUACAUAUAUUAUAUAUAACACCACGGCAGUCAACCGCCGCCAUCCACUUCAGGCGAACCUCCAUCUACAGCGACGACCGCAUACACCCUAGCCGCAAUCAACCACCGCCGCCCUCAAUCACCGGAUUGUUGCAGUAUUCAGUAUAGCAAGGAUUGGUGACCAUUGGCUCAUGGUUUAAUAUCAUGGAGUUCUAUCCAUAGCCUAUAUAUAUGUACUUUUUUCUUUUUCUUUUUGACCUUUCACGUGUAAUAGGAAGUAGUUUGAUGAUGAAAGAUGCUUCAUUGUAUGAUGAACAAUGUAAUGAUAUCAUAUAUCUAUGUGUUAUAAUAUAAUAUGUGGUUGGACGUCA
Long non-coding RNA from Erigeron canadensis, 705 nucleotides. RefSeq lists it as uncharacterized. NCBI's taxonomy places the organism in Eukaryota, Viridiplantae, Streptophyta, Magnoliopsida, Asterales, Asteraceae. The record is from RefSeq and is a predicted model, not a curated record. The transcript is spliced from 2 exons.